Non-coding RNA from Podarcis lilfordi (Lilford's wall lizard), 240 nucleotides. Lineage: Eukaryota; Metazoa; Chordata; Lepidosauria; Squamata; Lacertidae. The record is from the annotation of a GenBank genome assembly.
UGCUAAAGAUAGCUCAGUUGGUAGAGCAGGGCUCCCCAGGGUCUCUAGCUGUUGUUGGGCUACAACUCCCAACCUCCAGGUAUAGGGUGGUAUAUAAAUAAAAUAAAUAAAAUCAUCCCUAGCUAGCAGAACCAGUGGUCAGGGAUGAUGGGAAUUGUAGUCCACAAGCAGCUGGAGACCCAAGUUUGGGAAACCCUGCAGUAGAGCCUGAGUUGUGGGUUCGAGCCCCACAUUGGGCAA